UCCGAUCAACUGGAAUUGAACCAAUACUAAGAGGGCUACAACCUCCUGUGCUACCACUACACCAUGAUCAA
Molecule: transfer RNA, 71 nt
Filed under: Klosneuvirus KNV1
Lineage: Varidnaviria; Bamfordvirae; Nucleocytoviricota; Megaviricetes; Imitervirales; Mimiviridae
Description: tRNA-Tyr
Source: RNAcentral